UGCAGUCGAGGGGCAGCAUUUCAGUUUGCUUGCAAACUGGAGAUGGCGACCGGCGCACGGGUGAGUAACACGUAUCCAACCUGCCGAUAACUCGGGGAUAGCCUUUCGAAAGAAAGAUUAAUACCCGAUGGCAUAAUAAAACCGCAUGGUUUUUUUAUUAAAGAAUUUCGGUUAUCGAUGGGGAUGCGUUCCAUUAGGCAGUUGGUGAGGUAACGGCUCACCAAACCUUCGAUGGAUAGGGGUUCUGAGAGGAAGGUCCCCCACAUUGGAACUGAGACACGGUCCAAACUCCUACGGGAGGCAGCAGUGAGGAAUAUUGGUCAAUGGGCGCAGGCCUGAACCAGCCAAGUAGCGUGAAGGAUGACUGCCCUAUGGGUUGUAAACUUCUUUUAUAUGGGAAUAAAGUUUUCCACGUGUGGAAUUUUGUAUGUACCAUAUGAAUAAGGAUCGGCUAACUCCGUGCCAGCAGCCGCGGUAAUACGGAGGAUCCGAGCGUUAUCCGGAUUUAUUGGGUUUAAAGGGAGCGUAGGUGGACAGUUAAGUCAGUUGUGAAAGUUUGCGGCUCAACCGUAAAAUUGCAGUUGAUACUGGCUGUCUUGAGUACAGUAGAGGUGGGCGGAAUUCGUGGUGUAGCGGUGAAAUGCUUAGAUAUCACGAAGAACUCCGAUUGCGAAGGCAGCUCACUGGACUGCAACUGACACUGAUGCUCGAAAGUGUGGGUAUCAAACAGGAUUAGAUACCCUGGUAGUCCACACAGUAAACGAUGAAUACUCGCUGUUUGCGAUAUACAGUAAGCGGCCAAGCGAAAGCAUUAAGUAUUCCACCUGGGGAGUACGCCGGCAACGGUGAAACUCAAAGGAAUUGACGGGGGCCCGCACAAGCGGAGGAACAUGUGGUUUAAUUCGAUGAUACGCGAGGAACCUUACCCGGGCUUAAAUUGCAUUUGAAUAUAUUGGAAACAGUAUAGCCGUAAGGCAAAUGUGAAGGUGCUGCAUGGUUGUCGUCAGCUCGUGCCGUGAGGUGUCGGCUUAAGUGCCAUAACGAGCGCAACCCUUAUCUUUAGUUACUAACAGGUCAUGCUGAGGACUCUAGAGAGACUGCCGUCGUAAGAUGUGAGGAAGGUGGGGAUGACGUCAAAUCAGCACGGCCCUUACGUCCGGGGCUACACACGUGUUACAAUGGGGGGUACAGAAGGCAGCUACCUGGUGACAGGAUGCUAAUCCCAAAAGCCUCUCUCAGUUCGGAUCGAAGUCUGCAACCCGACUUCGUGAAGCUGGAUUCGCUAGUAAUCGCGCAUCAGCCAUGGCGCGGUGAAUACGUUCCCGGGCCUUGUACACACCGCCCGUCAAGCCAUGAAAGCCGGGGGUACCUGAAGUACGUAACCGCAAGGAGC
This 1393-nucleotide ribosomal RNA is filed under the name uncultured bacterium. RNAcentral's name for it is "bacterial SSU rRNA". It matches the Rfam family "Bacterial small subunit ribosomal RNA". The record is from RNAcentral.